Molecule: ribosomal RNA, 415 nt
Filed under: uncultured bacterium
Lineage: Bacteria
Description: bacterial SSU rRNA
Rfam family: Bacterial small subunit ribosomal RNA
Source: RNAcentral
CAGGAACUUGCCAGAGAUGGCUUGGUGCUCGAAAGAGAGCCUGGACACAGGUGCUGCAUGGCCGUCGUCAGCUCGUGUCGUGAGAUGUUGGGUUAAGUCCCGCAACGAGCGCAGCCCUUGUCAUUAGUUGUUACGAAAGGGCACUCUAAUGAGACUGCCGGUGACAAACCGGAGGAAGGUGGGGAUGACGUCAGGUCCUCAUGGCCCUUAUGGGUAGGGCUACACACGUCAUACAAUGGCCGGUACAGAGGGCUGCCAACCCGCGAGGGGGAGCCAAUCCCAGAAAACCGGUCGUAGUCCGGAUCGUAGUCUGCAACUCGACUGCGUGAAGUCGGAAUCGCUAGUAAUCGCGGAUCAGCUUGCCGCGGUGAAUACGUUCCCGGGUCUUGUACACACCGCCCGUCACACCAUGGGA